RNAcentral lists this ribosomal RNA (354 nucleotides) under uncultured bacterium. RNAcentral's name for it is "SSU rRNA". It matches the Rfam family "Bacterial small subunit ribosomal RNA", at positions 26 to 369 of the family's 1533-position model. The record is from RNAcentral.
AGGACGAACGCUGGCGGCGUGCUUAACACAUGCAAGUCGAGCGGAAAGGCCCUUCGGGGUACUCGAGCGGCGCAAGGGUGCGUAACACGUGGGUAAUCUGCCAUGAAGUCCGGGAUAACUCGCUGAAAGGCGAGCUAAUACCGUAUGUGAAAAUCGGAAGGCAUCUUCUGAUUUUCAAAGCUGGGGACCGUAAGGCCUGGCGCUUCAUGAUGAGCCCGCGGCCUAUCAGCUAGUUGGUGAGGUAACGGCUCACCAAGGCUAAGACGGGUAGCUGGUCUGAGAGGACGACCAGCCACACUGGAACUGAGACACGGUCCAGACACCUACGGGUGGCAGCAGUCGAGAAUUUUUCAC